Molecule: long non-coding RNA, 239 nt
Organism: Populus trichocarpa (black cottonwood)
Lineage: Eukaryota; Viridiplantae; Streptophyta; Magnoliopsida; Malpighiales; Salicaceae
Exons: 2
Source: RefSeq, a predicted model, not a curated record
GAUGAUCAUAGCAUUAACGGUGAAGCACUUCCAGAUGGAAGUCAAGAGGGAGUUAGAAGGUUUCAGCAGUUGCGUUUGAAGCUUAAGAUGGCCAAUAACUGGGCUGGUGUUUCAAGAUUCAGCCGUGUAAAUUGUGAAACUAAUUGUGAUUGGAUAGUAAUUGUCCGUCUAAUUAAUGCACUGAUUAUUGUUUUAAAAUAGAAAGUACAAAUAUAAAUAUAAAUAUAAAAGAACAAACA